Molecule: small nucleolar RNA, 87 nt
Filed under: Lachancea fermentati
Lineage: Eukaryota; Fungi; Ascomycota; Saccharomycetes; Saccharomycetales; Saccharomycetaceae
Description: Small nucleolar RNA snR79
Rfam family: Small nucleolar RNA snR79
Source: Rfam by way of RNAcentral
UAUGGUGAUGAUACAAAUUUUGUUGCUCGAAGAUUAACAUCAAUGUGGGCGCAAUGAUUUCUCAAUAGACUACAACGGUAUCUGAAU